Molecule: ribosomal RNA, 264 nt
Filed under: uncultured bacterium
Lineage: Bacteria
Description: partial 16S ribosomal RNA
Rfam family: Bacterial small subunit ribosomal RNA
Source: RNAcentral
UACGGGGUGGGCAAGCGUUGUUCGGAAUUACUGGGCGUAAAGGGCUCGUAGGCGGCCAACUAAGUCAGACGUGAAAUCCCCAGGCUCAACCUGGGAACUGCGUCUGAUACUGGUUGGCUUGAAUCCGGGAGAGGGAUGCAGAAUUCCAGGUGUAGCGGUGAAAUGCGUAGAUAUCUGGAGGAAUACCGGUGGCGAAGGCGGCAUCCUGGACCGGCAUUGACGCUGAGGAGCGAAAGCCAGGGGAGCAAACGGGAUUAGAAACCC